RNAcentral lists this transfer RNA (72 nucleotides) under Bos taurus (domestic cattle). It matches the Rfam family "tRNA". From Rfam's summary of the family: Transfer RNA (tRNA) molecules are approximately 80 nucleotides in length. Their secondary structure includes four short double-helical elements and three loops (D, anti-codon, and T loops). The record is from Rfam by way of RNAcentral. Lineage: Eukaryota; Metazoa; Chordata; Mammalia; Artiodactyla; Bovidae. RNAcentral also lists the same sequence under 5 other names.
UUCCUGGUGGCUCAGAUGGUAAAGAAUCUGCCUGUAAUGCAGGGAACCCAGGUUCAAUCCCUGGGUUGGGAA